RNAcentral lists this ribosomal RNA (1685 nucleotides) under Triticum aestivum (bread wheat). Its description in RNAcentral is "partial small subunit ribosomal RNA". Lineage: Eukaryota; Viridiplantae; Streptophyta; Magnoliopsida; Poales; Poaceae. The record is from RNAcentral.
GGGAAAUUCCUGAUGGCAACCUCUCGAUUUCUUCGCCGACCAGCGCCGGAAUCCGGUGGCAACCUCCGCUGCUCCCCCUUCCCCUAUUCACGAACUAGUCUCCAUACGCGACCUCCUCCGCUCCUCGCCCUACCAAGUCGCAAACGGCGGCGGCGUGCGCGCCCUACGUCGACGUGGCCCCGCCUCCGCCACCGCUUCCGCCUCACCGACGUGUUAGCAUCCCGUCCACAGUACCCACCUGGACGAUACGCAAUUCCUCCUCCUACUUGUCCGUCUUCGGCACAGCCCUUCCACCAAACUCCGCGCCCCCUUCGCCUCGCAGUAAAGCUCGUAGCGCGCGGCCAUGCCGGCGGCAGGUGCCCUGGUCGUGUACAGGGCGGUGUUCGCCGCGCUCGGCUGCCUCAUGGUGGGCACCCUGGUGUACACCUGCAUCACCGACGGCUCGCCGUUCCGCGCCGAGCUGCUGACACCGUGGAUGAUGACAACACUGGUUGAUUUUUAUGUAAAUAUAGCAGCGAUUUCGACUUGGGUCGUCUACAAGGAAGGAAAUUGGAUUAGUUCUAUCUUCUGGGUAGUACUGUUGGUUUGUUUCGGCAGUGCCACUACAUGUGCUUAUAUUGUUAGCAAGUUAUUUGAGAUAACAUCUUCAGGGCUUUCCCAAAAUCCGCUUGAUCUUUUGUUGCUCAGGCAAGAUAAUCUACCCGAAAGGAAGUGUUCUUUUGUCGUCAUCGGGAGAACUAUUUUCAGCAUUUUGGGCAUACUCAUGGCUGCACUUGUCACGUAUACUGUCAUUACAGAUGGACUGCCUUUCAGGAAGGAUUUGUUGACACCGUGGAUGGCUGCAACCUUAAUUGACUUCUAUAUAAAUGUCUUUGCAAUAUCGGUAUGGGUUGUUCACAGGGAGUCGACUUGGAUCUCAGCAGUCAUUUGGAUAUGCUUGUUGAUAUGCUUUGGAAGCAUCACGACUUGUGGGUACAUUGUGGUUCAACUUCUACAAGUGUCAUACCAGGACCCAGUCUACCAUCUGCUACUGAAUUCCCAUAGCAAGUAUGGAGCUGCACCCUCACAGUAAUCGUCGAUCCUCUUCUACUAGCCUGGUUAGCUUACGGUUGGUGUAAACUUUGCUUGGCAUACAGUCAUUUAUGUGGCGUUUACCUGUUUAAAAUGUAGGAAGAUCUGAAAACUCAUUGAAGGGGGAUAUGUUCUUGGUACACAAUAAUGUCCCCUCUGUUCAUAAAGGUGCCACAAUAAAGGGUAUACCAGAGUAGCAAUUAGAGAGAGAGAGAGAGAGAGAGAGAGAGAGAGAGAGAAAGAGAGAGAGAGAAAAUCUUCGUGGAAUGGAAUGAUUUCUUAACGAAAUUGAAGCUCCUUCACUUGUUAUUGUCUCAAAGGUGGUUUUGUAAUUGUAUAUCAAAUCGAAUUGCUUGGUAAAUGAUGGACAGCAGAUUCUUCUUUUUUGCGAAUACGCAGAAGGCUUGCAUAUCUUUUCAUUGAUAGUGCCAGAGAAAGUGCAGGGGAUACAAGAGGCACUACAGGAGUGCGUACAAGAACGCGACGUGAGUGUACCAAGGCAAAAUGGUAGAGGAAAAAUGAAAUAGACACACCAACAAGUCCCUACCACAAGGAUAUAGCCUAGCAUUCUCUUGUCAUAUUGCUCUGCCUAAAUAAUGGAUGACAAAUAAGCC